This 134-nucleotide small nuclear RNA is filed under the name Carlito syrichta (Philippine tarsier). RNAcentral's name for it is "U2 spliceosomal RNA (ENSTSYG00000024565.2)". It matches the Rfam family "U2 spliceosomal RNA". From Rfam's summary of the family: U2 is a small nuclear RNA (snRNA) component of the spliceosome (involved in pre-mRNA splicing). Complementary binding between U2 snRNA (in an area lying towards the 5' end but 3' to hairpin I) and the branchpoint sequence (BPS) of the intron results the bulging out of an unpaired adenosine, on the BPS, which initiates a nucleophilic attack at the intronic 5' splice site, thus starting the first of two transesterification reactions that mediate splicing. The record is from RNAcentral. Lineage: Eukaryota; Metazoa; Chordata; Mammalia; Primates; Tarsiidae.
AUUGCCUCUCAACCUUUGGCAAAGAUCAUGUGUAGUAUCUGUUCUAAUCAGUUUAAUAUCUGAUAUGUCCUCUAUCCGAGGACAAUGAAAAAAAAAAAGAAAUGUUAUAUAUAGAUAUUUUCUUUUUUCUUCUU